UUCUAAUUCUAAAUCUUAGUGACUUGAGUUAUAAAACUGACAAGAUUUCAUGCCUAUUAUACACAUGACAACUAAAACAAAGUAACUAAUAUUAUAUAUGCAGUAAAUUUUACUGAUGGUCAGGUCUGCAUAAUCACAAAAUGAUUUAUGACUGCUUGUUUUACCAUGUCCAGUUGACCAUACAAUAAAAUUCAUAGCCAAC
RNAcentral lists this long non-coding RNA (202 nucleotides) under Mytilus galloprovincialis (Mediterranean mussel). The record is from RNAcentral. Lineage: Eukaryota; Metazoa; Mollusca; Bivalvia; Mytilida; Mytilidae.